GACGAACGCUGGCGGCGUGCUUAACACAUGCAAGUCGAACGGUAAGGCCCUUCGGGGUACACGAGUGGCGAACGGGUGAGUAACACGUGGGUGAUCUGCCCUGCACUUCGGGAUACGCCUGGGAAACUGGGUCUAAUACCGGAUAGGACCCUGGGCUGCAUGUCCGGGGGUGGAAAGCUUUUGUGGUGUGGGAGGGGCCCGCGGCCUAUCGGCUUGUUGGUGGGGUGAUGGCCUACCAAGGCGACGGCGGGUAGCCGGCCUGAGACGGGUGACCGGCCACACUGGGACGGAGAUACGGCCCAGACUCCUACGGGAGGCAGCAGUGGGGAAUAUUGCACAAUGGGCGCAAGCCUGAUGCAGCGACGCCGCGUGAGGGAUGACGGCCUUCGGGUUGUAAACCCCUUUCAGCACCGACGAAGCGCAGGUGACGGUAGGUGCAGAAGAAGGACCGGCCAACUACGUGCCAGCCGCCGCCGUAA
RNAcentral lists this ribosomal RNA (479 nucleotides) under uncultured bacterium. RNAcentral's name for it is "partial 16S ribosomal RNA". It matches the Rfam family "Bacterial small subunit ribosomal RNA", at positions 28 to 523 of the family's 1533-position model. The record is from RNAcentral.